This 884-nucleotide ribosomal RNA is filed under the name Pediococcus acidilactici. RNAcentral describes it as "bacterial SSU rRNA". It matches the Rfam family "Bacterial small subunit ribosomal RNA", at positions 76 to 907 of the family's 1533-position model. Lineage: Bacteria; Bacillati; Bacillota; Bacilli; Lactobacillales; Lactobacillaceae. The record is from RNAcentral.
AACUUCCGUUAAKUGAUCRGGACGUGCUUGCACUGAAUGAGAUUUUAACACGAAGUGAGUGGCGGACGGGUGAGUAACACGUGGGUAACCUGCCCAGAAGCRGGGGAUAACACCUGGAAACAGAUGCUAAUACCGUAUAACAGAGAAAACCGCCUGGUUUUCUUUUAAAAGAUGGCUCUGCUAUCACUUCUGGAUGGACCCGCGGCGCAUUAGCUAGUUGGUGAGGUAACGGCUCACCAAGGCGAUGAUGCGUAGCCGACCUGAGAGGGUAAUCGGCCACAUUGGGACUGAGACACGGCCCAGACUCCUACGGGAGGCAGCAGUAGGGAAUCUUCCACAAUGGACGCAAGUCUGAUGGAGCAACGCCGCGUGAGUGAAGAAGGGUUUCGGCUCGUAAAGCUCUGUUGUUAAAGAAGAACGUGGGUGAGAGUAACUGUUCACCCAGUGACGGUAUUUAACCAGAAAGCCACGGCUAACUACGUGCCAGCAGCCGCGGUAAUACGUAGGUGGCAAGCGUUAUCCGGAUUUAUUGGGCGUAAAGCGAGCGCAGGCGGUCUUUUAAGUCUAAUGUGAAAGCCUUCGGCUCAACCGAAGAAGUGCAUUGGAAACUGGGAGACUUGAGUGCAGAAGAGGACAGUGGAACUCCAUGUGUAGCGGUGAAAUGCGUAGAUAUAUGGAAGAACACCAGUGGCGAAGGCGGCUGUCUGGUCUGUAACUGACGCUGAGGCUCGAAAGCAUGGGUAGCGAACAGGAUUAGAUACCCUGGUAGUCCAUGCCGUAAACGAUGAUUACUAAGUGUUGGAGGGUUUCCGCCCUUCAGUGCUGCAGCUAACGCAUUAAGUAAUCCGCCUGGGGAGUACGACCGCAAGGUUGAAACUCAAAAG